RNAcentral lists this ribosomal RNA (253 nucleotides) under uncultured bacterium. RNAcentral describes it as "partial 16S ribosomal RNA". It matches the Rfam family "Bacterial small subunit ribosomal RNA", at positions 524 to 776 of the family's 1533-position model. The record is from RNAcentral.
UACAGAGGGUGCAAGCGUUGUUCGGAAUUAUUGGGCGUAAAGGGCGCGUAGGCGGUUCGGCAAGUCUCUAGUGAAAUCUCUGGGCUCAACUCAGAGUCUGCUGGGGAAACUGCCGGGCUUGAGUGUGGGAGAGGAGAGUGGAAUUCCCGGUGUAGCGGUGAAAUGCGCAGAUAUCGGGAGGAACACCAAUGGCGAAGGCAGCUCGCUGGGACGGUACUGACGCUGAGACGCGAAAGCGUGGGGAGCGAACAGG